Cinara cedri is the source of this 1765-nucleotide non-coding RNA. The record is from the annotation of a GenBank genome assembly. Lineage: Eukaryota; Metazoa; Arthropoda; Insecta; Hemiptera; Aphididae.
AAUAAUACGUGCACCUAAUUAUAUUCAAUAAAAUCGCUAAUCCUAAACCUAAUUUUUAAUUAUCAUUAUAAUUAUUUUUUUUUUGUUUUUUUCAAAUUUACUUUUUUUUUUUUUCUCAAUGGCCGCAGAAUUUCCGCGCAAUCCGAAUAAACGUAAUCGUUGCGUUUCGGCAAUUCUAAUUAUACACGCGCGUUAUAAAAAAAAAAAAAUAAUACGAAUAAAUAUUAUUACAAUCACGAGGGUCGCGAGCAACAGAACACUGUUCAUCAAUCGGUCGAAAAAAGAAAAAAGAAAAAAAAGAGAACCGUAACGAUCGAAAAGAUUUUUAGGAAGACGUCGUUGUCACCGCAGUGGCGCGAUAAUAUUACAGCGCGCGAUAAUAAUAAGAUAUAUUAUUAUUGUCCCGGUUAAACCGCUUUUAUUCGAUAUAUAUGGUAAAUAGGUACGACGGCCAAUCUGUGAUAACCUGCCAGGUGCGUCGGGCGCCUCUGCGGGCGGGGAAACUCGGACUGCAGUUCUACAUCCUUCUCUGAAACGGCAGAAAAUCGAAAAUCCGCGGGAGAAACGAGUGUUCCCCCUCGGCGAUGUCACACACACUACAAACCCAGGGAUAUAAUAUUUUCCAUCGAGUUCCGACACGAGCGAACGAAAGUUUGACGGUUUUUCGAGGUUAAGCUCGGAGAUUGUCGCUGCUCGUCGGGCGUACAGAUGACGGUCCCAGUUCUCCACCGCCGGCAGCAAUUUCAUCAGUUAAAUAAUAUAUACACGAUCCCGGAAUCCCGCGAUACAGAAAAUUUCGACUGCCGGCCGAGUAUUUUUUUCCCCCGUAAUAAAGGAACGACGGGAUGUGACCUGAGAUUUUUCUCGGAUGGCGAGAAACUGAGGCUUUUUUUUUCCUUUUCACGGCACGAAUCGUUUGCGUUUCGUUCUUUUGAGAUUCAAAUUUUAACACGGUAAUUCGGAAAAAAAAAUAUGAUAAUUUCGAAUAUUACGAUUAUAGCGAAGAAUAGAUUGAUCGACAAUUAUUUGGGAAAACGGGUAUAUUAAUCGCGGAAGCGCUAGGAGCGCGCGUACUACAAUAUCAAUUUCGAUAAUGUUUUUGUACGUCCUGUCCGUUGUUUAAUUUAUCGACUUCGGUUCGCAACUAAAACGGGUUAGUGUCGCGAUAAUACCGUCGUACCUGUACGGUUAAACCAUAAAUAUUAAUUAGUCACGAGAUUUGAGCCGACUGACCUACACGACCGAUAGAAUCCGAUUCGAAAUCUGAAGGUUUUAUUGGCAAAGAAAAAAUAAAAAGGAUUAAAUCAUCCCGAAACGUAUUUUAUACUACGUAAUAUUAUAAAAUAAUAUUUCAGUACAUUUCGAGCGUACAAAUUAUACCGUUAAAAUUUAGGUACACAAUUCUAGCAUGUUACGUAUAUAGUUAUUACUUUGUAAAUGUUUGAAUUUUUUUUUCUUUGUACGAGUAUACCGAAGUUUCAUAGAUAAACGUUUAAACGUAAUACUCUAGAUACUAUAGUUAAGCUCGAAACACUUGGAAAAGAAAAAAAAACCAUUGUACUUUGGGUUUCGUUUACAUGCAAAUAAAUUAAUACGAAUUAAUAAAAAAAAUGUUGGUAAAUUUUUACCAAGAGAUAUGAUGAAAAAGUAAAAAAAAAAAAAAAGGCCCUCCCCCAGUAAUGUAUGAAAGCAUUUUACGAAAGCUUAACCAAAUCUAUCAACUAGAUAAUAUUAUAUUACUUUUUUUUUUCUUUUUUUUUUGAAU